UGGGGAAUAUUGGACAAUGGGCGAAAGCCUGAUCCAGCAAUGCCGCGUGAGUGAUGAAGGCCUUAGGGUUGUAAAGCUCUUUUACCCGGGAUGAUAAUGACAGUACCGGGAGAAUAAGCCCCGGCUAACUCCGUGCCAGCAGCCGCGGUAAUACGGAGGGGGCUAGCGUUGUUCGGAAUUACUGGGCGUAAAGCGCGCGUAGGCGGUUUUUCAAGUCAGGGGUGAAAGCCCGGAGCUCAACUCCGGAAUUGCCCUUGAAACUGGAUAACUUGAGUCUUGGAGAGGUCAGUGGAAUUCCGAGUGUAGAGGUGAAAUUCGUAGAUAUUCGGAAGAACACCAGUGGCGAAGGCGACUGACUGGACAAGUACUGACGCUGAGGUGCGAAAGCGUGGGGAGCAAACA
RNAcentral lists this ribosomal RNA (402 nucleotides) under uncultured prokaryote. RNAcentral describes it as "bacterial SSU rRNA". It matches the Rfam family "Bacterial small subunit ribosomal RNA", at positions 355 to 774 of the family's 1533-position model. The record is from RNAcentral.